GACGAACGCUGGCGGCGUGCUUAACACAUGCAAGUCGAACGGAAAGGCCCUGCUUUUGUGGGGUGCUCGAGUGGCGAACGGGUGAGUAACACGUGAGUAACCUGCCCUUGACUUUGGGAUAACUUCAGGAAACUGGGGCUAAUACCGGAUAGGAGCUCCUGCUGCAUGGUGGGGGUUGGAAAGUUUCGGCGGUUGGGGAUGGACUCGCGGCUUAUCAGCUUGUUGGUGGGGUAGUGGCUUACCAAGGGUUUGACGGGUAGCCGGCCUGAGAGGGUGACCGGCCACAUUGGGACUGAGAUACGGACCAGACUCGUACGGGAGGCAGCAGUGGGGAAUAUUGCACAGUGGGCGGAAGCCUGAUGCAGCAACGCCGCGUGCGGGAUGACGGCUUUCGGGUUGUAAACCGCUUUCGCCUGUGACGAAGAGUGAGUGACGGUAAUGGGUAAAGAAGCACCGGCUAACUACGUG
This 468-nucleotide ribosomal RNA is filed under the name uncultured bacterium. Its description in RNAcentral is "partial 16S ribosomal RNA". It matches the Rfam family "Bacterial small subunit ribosomal RNA", at positions 28 to 507 of the family's 1533-position model. The record is from RNAcentral.